GACGAACGCUGGCGGCGUGCUUAACACAUGCAAGUCGAACGGGCCCGCCCCUGUUUUUGGGGGUGGGUUGAGUGGCGAACGGGUGAGUAUCACGUGAGUAACCUGCCCCCUGCUCCUGGAUAACUGCUUGAAAGGGCGGCUAAUACGGGGUGUGCCGGCUGGUCCGCAUGGGCCUGGUCGGGAUAGUCUCAUCUUCGGGUGUUUCGGUGGGGGAUGGGCUCGCGGCCUAUCAGCUUGUUGGUGGGGUGAUGGCCCACCAAGGCGGUGACGGGGAGCCGGCCUGGGAGGGUGGGCGCCCACACUGGGACUGAGACACGGCCCAGCCUCCGGCGGGAGGCAGCAGUGGGGGGUAUUGCACAAUGGGCGGAUGCCUGAUGCAGCGACGUCGCGUGAGGGAUGGAGGCCUUCGGGUUGUGACCCUCUUUCUCCGGUGGUGAAGGCCCUGUCCGUUGCGGCGGGGUUGACGGUAGCCGGGUAUGAAGCGCCGGCUAACUACGUG
Molecule: ribosomal RNA, 499 nt
Filed under: uncultured bacterium
Lineage: Bacteria
Description: partial 16S ribosomal RNA
Rfam family: Bacterial small subunit ribosomal RNA
Source: RNAcentral